Molecule: ribosomal RNA, 30 nt
Filed under: Trebouxia suecica
Lineage: Eukaryota; Viridiplantae; Chlorophyta; Trebouxiophyceae; Trebouxiales; Trebouxiaceae
Also listed under: 1 other name
Description: partial large subunit ribosomal RNA
Source: RNAcentral
UUUCGACCUGAGGUCAGGCAAGAACACCCG